This 72-nucleotide transfer RNA is filed under the name Camelus bactrianus (Bactrian camel). It matches the Rfam family "tRNA". Rfam says of the family: Transfer RNA (tRNA) molecules are approximately 80 nucleotides in length. Their secondary structure includes four short double-helical elements and three loops (D, anti-codon, and T loops). The record is from Rfam by way of RNAcentral. Lineage: Eukaryota; Metazoa; Chordata; Mammalia; Artiodactyla; Camelidae. RNAcentral also lists the same sequence under 1 other name.
GAGGGCAUAGCUCAGUGGUAGAGCGUGUGCUGGGCGUGCAUGUGAUCCUGGGUUCAAUCCCCAGUGCCUUUG